Molecule: ribosomal RNA, 547 nt
Filed under: Russula solaris
Lineage: Eukaryota; Fungi; Basidiomycota; Agaricomycetes; Russulales; Russulaceae
Description: partial 12S small subunit ribosomal RNA
Rfam family: Bacterial small subunit ribosomal RNA
Source: RNAcentral
GAAUAUUAGUCAAUGCUCGAAAGAGUGAACUAGCUAACUGAAAUCAAUUAAAAUAAUUGAUAACAUAAGGGAAAAUAAUGAUAUUACCUUAUUAUUAGUGUCGUCCAAAACUGGUGCCAGAAGACUCGGUAAGGCCAGAGACACAAACGUUAAUCGUCUUAAUCAGGCGUAAAGGGUUUGUAGGCGGCUUUAAAAUUUAAGUUAAAAAAAAUUUUUUUUAGGUAAAGAAUAAAAGCUAGAAUCAAAUAGAGGAUAUAUGAAAGAAUGCUUAGAGUAGGUCUGAUAUCCUUAGAUACUAAGUAGAAUAUUAAAGGCGAAAGCUUUUUUCCAUUAAUGAUUGACGCUCAGAAACGAAGGUGAGGAUAGGAAAUAGGAUUAGAUACCCAGAAUACCCCUCUCUGUCAACGAUGAAUGGUAGUUAUUAGUAAAAUUAUUAAUGGCAAUGUUAACACGAUAACCAUUCCGCCUUGUGAGUACAACUGCAAAGUUGAAAACAAAAAAAUUAGUCGGUUUCGGAGCAAACGAAGUGAAGCAUGUUAUUUAAUUC